Molecule: transfer RNA, 71 nt
Filed under: Candidatus Terrybacteria bacterium RIFCSPHIGHO2_01_FULL_48_17
Lineage: Bacteria; Candidatus Terryibacteriota
Also listed under: 1 other name
Description: tRNA-Gly
Rfam family: tRNA
About the family: Transfer RNA (tRNA) molecules are approximately 80 nucleotides in length. Their secondary structure includes four short double-helical elements and three loops (D, anti-codon, and T loops).
Source: RNAcentral
GCGAGAGUAGCACAAUGGUAGUGCGCCUGCCUUCCAAGCAGGAUACGGGGGUUCGAUUCCCCUCUCUCGCU